GCCACUGUGGUCUAGCGGUUAGAACGCUGGCCUUGUAAUCCUGGGGUCUCGGGUUCGAUUCUCGGCGUUGCCC
RNAcentral lists this transfer RNA (73 nucleotides) under Zootermopsis nevadensis. It matches the Rfam family "tRNA". Rfam says of the family: Transfer RNA (tRNA) molecules are approximately 80 nucleotides in length. The record is from Rfam by way of RNAcentral. Lineage: Eukaryota; Metazoa; Arthropoda; Insecta; Blattodea; Termopsidae.